Long non-coding RNA from Camelus dromedarius (Arabian camel), 1712 nucleotides. RefSeq lists it as uncharacterized. The transcript is spliced from 5 exons. The record is from RefSeq and is a predicted model, not a curated record. NCBI's taxonomy places the organism in Eukaryota, Metazoa, Chordata, Mammalia, Artiodactyla, Camelidae.
UAGCAUGCUGUUAGCAUUAAAGAAAACCCAAUCGGGGCGGGAGGGAAGCACUCCAGCCUUCUCUCAGCUUGGGGCGCCUCACUCUCUCCCCAGCCCCUUCUCCCAGCUGCCUGUGAGCCCCUCUCCCCUCCCGGCUUCUUGGCUCUGCUCUGCUUCUCCAGGCCUCUCUCUACCCACAUCCUGUCUCUUCCUCCUUGCCUCCCCUCUCUCCCUCAGCUUCCAGGUCUCUGCUGGUCCCCAGGGAGCACUUUGACCCCUGUUCCCCGCUCAAGUGCUGUGGAUCAAGCCUUCCCCUCCACCCACCAUCCCACCAAAGGGGCUGCUGGUCAAGAGGCCCCACCCAGCCAGCCAGAAUGAAGGCCACAGCCAUGGGACUCUGGACUGGGAAGGGCUGGUCAGGAGCCGAGGGUGGGCCCCUCCAGGCUCCUUGGGAGCUGGGGACAGGAGAGGGGUCCUUACUGCAGCAGGGUCUCCACCACGGCUUUCUGGUGGGCUGCCUCCUCCGGGCUGAGGUUCUCCAGCUCUUUGAGGAUUGGCGGCGUGAAGUCUUCCCCAUCGUCGUCCGUCUCGUCCUCGGAGCCCCUCGUCUCCCCGAGUCCGUUGGGAAGCUCGGCCAGCUCCCCUCGCCCACCACCGCCACAGGACUCCCCCUUGUCCAGGGGGCCAUCUCCGGCCAGCAGUCUACAUGGAGGAAGCUAAGUCCGAGAAUGCCUGCUUAUACAACUGGUCCCCAACACAGCUGGUCUCAACUACCUUGGUUUCAAAGAAUCCCAGCAACGGGUUACAUCUUGGGAAAAAAGUGGUUGGGGAGUUCGAGACCUGAGUGUACUGCCUUCUCCAGGGAGACCACUGUAAGACGAGGAAACUGAGGUUCAGAGAAGUCAUCAAGACUCCCGCCCAGGCCAGUGAAAGUAAGACCCCGCCUUGCUCCUCCUUGAGUCUUUUCGCCAUCCGGCCACACCUGUGUUUGUAUUCACUUUGUUUCCUCCCGUGGAGAAAACUCAGCUACCUCUUUCUUCCCAUGAUGGUCGCUUCAGGGGCCACGGAUGUUUUGGAAGGAGAAAGAGCUCAAGAGCCCUCUUGUGGACGUUCCAGGAAAAAAAAGAGUUGGAGACAAACACACUGCCUGUAAUGACUCCAGUGUUUUGUUUUUCUAAGUUCCCUUUUUAAGGAUUUCACCUGUGCCUAAAUAUCCUGGGGUAUGAUGGAGGUAUGUAGUAUCUUUCUAUGGUGACAGAUGGUAAGCCAACUUACGGUGAUCAUUUUGAAAUGUAUAGGAUUAUCAAAUCACUAUGUUGCAGAAUAGGAACUAACAUAGUGUUGUAGGUCAAUUAUACUUCACAAACAAGCAGACUUAUAGAAAAGAGAUCAUAUUUGUGGUUAUCAGAGGUGGGGGUAGCGGGAGGAAGAACUAGAUGAAGGCAUUUGAAAGAUACAAACUUCAGUUAUACUAGGGGUAUAAUGUACAACAUGUAAAUAUAUUUAACACUGCUGUAUGUUACAUAUGAAAGUUAAGAGAAUAAAUCCUAAGAGUUCUCAUGACAAGGAAAAAUAUUUUUUUCUAUUUAAUUUUAUAUUUGUAUGAGUUGAUGGGUAUUCACUAAACUUAUUGUGGGCAUCCUUUCAUGAUGUAUGUAAGUCAAGUCAUUAUGCUGUACGUCUUAAAUUUAUGUAGUGCUGUGUGUCAAUUUUAUCCCAGUAAAAAUGGAAGG